UACGGAGGGUGCAAGCGUUGUUCGGAAUUAUUGGGCGUAAAGGGUAGGUAGGUGGUCUCGUUUGUCCAGGGUGAAAUCCCGGAGCUUAACUCCGGACGUGCCUUGGAAACGGCGAGACUAGAGUCUUGGAGAGGAUUGCAGAAUUUCAGGUGUAGCGGUGAAAUGCGUAGAGAUCUGAAGGAAUAUCGGUGGCGAAGGCGGCAAUCUGGACAAGUACUGACACUGAACUACGAAAGCGUGGGUAGCAAAC
RNAcentral lists this ribosomal RNA (250 nucleotides) under uncultured bacterium. RNAcentral describes it as "partial 16S ribosomal RNA". It matches the Rfam family "Bacterial small subunit ribosomal RNA", at positions 524 to 773 of the family's 1533-position model. The record is from RNAcentral.